Molecule: non-coding RNA, 2291 nt
Organism: Malus domestica (apple)
Lineage: Eukaryota; Viridiplantae; Streptophyta; Magnoliopsida; Rosales; Rosaceae
Source: RefSeq, a predicted model, not a curated record
UAGACUCCUCCUAUACACGUGUUGGUCAUCGUGAGACGGAUGUGCAUUGCCCUCGGUGGCCACGCGUCUAUCAUCGCCGGUCCUUCUUCUUCGAUUUCUUCGUUGGUGUUUUUUUCCGUUUGCCUCUUUCCCUCCAUUCUUUGCUUUUUCUUUCCGUUCGCUUCUCUCUCUGCAUCCUCAGUUUCUGCAAAUUGUCGAACGUAGCUUUUUCUCUUCCACGCCGGUGUUGUUCUUGCUGUCCACACCUAGCAAGUUUCUCCGUCUGAUUAUUCAGCUUCGUUAUUUUUCCCGGAAAAUUGCUCGAUUCGUGAAUGGUUUAGGGGCUACAGAUUUCUGCCUUUUUCAAUUCGAUUGAAAUCCAUUUUUUCUUUGCGUAGUCUAACGUGUUCUGGAAACGCUUCUGCUCCAAUUUUGGGCUUUCGUCUGCAGGAAAUGCUUCUUCUCCAAUUUUGGGGCUUUCGUCUGCAGUUUUGCAAGCCCAUUGUGUUGAAGGAUUUGGAGGCUCCUGCUUGGGAACUCAGAAACCUUUUUUAAUCUUUCCAGCAAUGGAGCUUGCAUUGUCGCUUGAGAAAUCGACAAAUGAAAAGCUCUGCUCAACUUGCAGUGUAAGAUGAUAAGGUUUAGGUGAUUAUAUUUUGUACCUGUAACAUCGUUUGGUUCGUGUUAUAAAUUAACAAUCUUAUUAUGCUAUGUUCAUCUUCGAAUUUACGACUAACAGGUUGUUGAGAAGAACAAAGAUGUGUAGUUCGUAGGUGGAAGCCAUCAAGAAAAUAUCUGAAUAUGUUGCUCAACUAUAGAUAAUUGGCGAAGAACACGAUUAGUGACAUGGAGCACACUCAGUGGAGCCAUUUACCACUACUGGUGUCCCUACUGAUUUAUUACCAUAUACCAAUCCAAGUCCAAACUGAUCACAAAGGGUCGGACCACAAAAAUUUAUCUUCAGUGCUUCAUAAAGCUUUAGAGGGUGCAAUCAUAUUUGAAACUUUCCCCAAGACUAUUAUGGAUGUUUUUGCAUUGGUGUUGGAAUCUAUGAGCAGUAAGUUUUUCCAUUGGAUUUUAAUAUCUAAGCGUCUAUUCUUUCGGCCAUUUAUGUUUAUGUGAAGGAAAAAUUAGUUAUGUAGAAAAUGAAUGAAUAGAAAUAACAUAGUAGAGAAUUUAAAGUGGAACAAAUAAGAUUAUACUCUUGCUAUGUCAAUAUAUAUGUUUGUGUAUAAACGUGUUCAUAUUUUUGCGUAUGUCAAUGUAUAACAUUGCUGCAAUUAGUUUGGUUACUUUACAGGAAAGCUUAUAUGAAUUUUUAAUCGAUGAAUUCCAGUUUCCAACACUUCAUUUUCUUCAAUUACAGGUAUUUGAAUUUUACAUGUCUAAAUUUUGUUCUCCAAUAAUUUUUAAGAUCAGUAGAUCUGUUGAAUUUGAUAAUAUUAUUCAACAAUGUGGUCAGCUGUUCAAACUGCAUUACAAAAUUUAAUAUGUAGAAUUAAGCAUUGUAAGUUUGAUCUUUUUCUUCUGAGUGAUGUAUUUCAGAUAUUGCCUUCUCCAACUAAACUCUUGAAAAGCUUUUCUAUAAAAUUUAUAGUUGUUUAAAGUGUUGUAUCCAUCUUUGCAAUUAGUCUCAUAAAUUAUACCAAAUUUGUUAAUUCUUUAGCAAAAUAAGCAAAUCAUUUUAAUUUGUUUAGGUCAGAUCAUAUGAAUUUUGAAGUUACUAUUUUGAUUGCGUAAUUAUCCAUGUUUCUAACAUUGCAUUCCUUUUUUUAUAAUAAAUUUGUUUCGUUUUUAGUUCUAAAAUGUAGUUUACAAAGGAAAAUCCAUGCGUUUCUAAUCUACACAAGUCAAAAGUUAAAGAUCAUUUUGACAAAAAAAAAAAAAAAAAGGUUAAAGAUCAAGAAGAAUUGAUGAAAGAAGCAGUAAGCAUUUUACAAGCGUCUCUCAGUUUUUAUUCAACAAUCCAGGCGUCCCAUGUUUCUCCUCCCUGGUUUGGUAAAGCAGAAACUUAUAGUUUGUCUUACAUUUAACUGAGAGACGUUAUGUGAAUAUAUCACAAUAUCAGUAAUUUUUUUGUAUGUUUUGUGAAUUUGUUGAUAUUCUAGCAGGAAUUGCAAUGGUGGAAGGGAACAAACAUAAAGGCAGUGUUAUUUCAGCCAAAAGCCUUAUUCUCACAACAUUGAGUACGAUUGCUUAGACUUUCAAUUCAUUGUACCUAAAUUGAAACAAUUCUUUACUUUACAUAUGUCAAAUAUAAUCUUUUAUACAAUUUCUAAUCCCGCAGCAACGCGCGGGUGGUAAUUUCUAGU